Molecule: ribosomal RNA, 253 nt
Filed under: uncultured bacterium
Lineage: Bacteria
Description: partial 16S ribosomal RNA
Rfam family: Bacterial small subunit ribosomal RNA
Source: RNAcentral
UACGUAGGGACCAAGCGUUGUUCGGAAUUACUGGGCGUAAAGCGCACGUAGGCGGCUUUGCAAGUUAGAGGUGAAAGCCCGGAGCUCAACUCCGGAAUUGCCUUUAAAACUGCAUCGCUAGAAUUGUGGAGAGGUGAGUGGAAUUCCGAGUGUAGAGGUGAAAUUCGUAGAUAUUCGGAAGAACACCAGUGGCGAAGGCGACUCACUGGACACAUAUUGACGCUGAGGUGCGAAAGCGUGGGGAGCAAACAGG